UGUAAGGUGGUCGAAAUAUUAGUCGUUAGAUUGUAAAUCUAUGUAUAAGUUUAAAUAAACUUUCUUAUGG
RNAcentral lists this transfer RNA (70 nucleotides) under unidentified. RNAcentral's name for it is "Cirrothauma sp. FMNH 309245 tRNA-Tyr". The record is from RNAcentral.